AACGAACGCUGGCGGCAGGCCUAACACAUGCAAGUCGAGCGAACCCUUCGGGGUUAGCGGCGGACGGGUUAGUAACGCGUGGGAAUAUACCCUUUGGUACGGAAUAGCCUCGGGAAACUGAGAGUAAUACCGUAUGUGCCCUUCGGGGGAAAGAUUUAUCGCCAAAGGAUUAGCCCGCGUUGGAUUAGAUAGUUGGUGGGGUAAUGGCCUACCAAGCCUACGAUCCAUAGCUGGUUUGAGAGGAUGAUCAGCAACACUGGGACUGAGACACGGCCCAGACUCCUACGGGAGGCAGCAGUGGGGAAUCUUAGACAAUGGGCGCAAGCCUGAUCUAGCCAUGCCGCGUGGACGAUGAAGGCCUUAGGGUUGUAAAGUCCUUUCAGAUGGGAAGAUAAUGACGGUACCAUCAGAAGAAGCCCCGGCUAACUCCGUGCCAGCAGCCGCGGUAAAGUACAGUGU
This 459-nucleotide ribosomal RNA is filed under the name uncultured bacterium. Its description in RNAcentral is "bacterial SSU rRNA". It matches the Rfam family "Bacterial small subunit ribosomal RNA", at positions 29 to 533 of the family's 1533-position model. The record is from RNAcentral.